This 375-nucleotide long non-coding RNA is filed under the name Homo sapiens (human). RNAcentral describes it as "non-protein coding lnc-HLA-DRB1-4:1". Lineage: Eukaryota; Metazoa; Chordata; Mammalia; Primates; Hominidae. The record is from RNAcentral.
GGAAGAUUAUUUUCCAAUAGAAUAAUGAUUUUCAUGUAUAUGUCAUGAGUGUGUGAGGUAAUGCGUAUGUUAAAUAGCUGGAUUUAGACAUUCCACACUAUAGCCAUAUAUCAAAACUUCAUGCUGUACAACAUAAAUAUACUAUACAAUUUUUACUUGUCAAUUAAAAAAGUAAUCCUAACAUUUAAAAAGGCAAUGCAUAAAAACUGAGAACAGACUAUAACAACUGAAACAAACUGGGCAAACAUGAGAUGAGAAACCAGCCAGCAAGUCAAUCAGAACUCUUUCUUCAUCUCGUCUACAAUAUUUUGUAUUUAUAACUGUAAAUUAGUGUAUAGUGUUUCACUCCAGAGACUUCAAUAAUACAGUGUUAUC